UUUAUGCUCACUUUGGCAGAAAAUAUAUUAAAAUUGAAACAAUACAGAGAAGAUUAGCAUGGCCCCUGUGCAAGGAUGACAUACAAAUUCGUGAAGCAUUUCAUAUUUAA
Small nuclear RNA from Oryctolagus cuniculus (rabbit), 110 nucleotides. NCBI's taxonomy places the organism in Eukaryota, Metazoa, Chordata, Mammalia, Lagomorpha, Leporidae. The record is from Ensembl.